This 481-nucleotide ribosomal RNA is filed under the name uncultured bacterium. RNAcentral's name for it is "partial 16S ribosomal RNA". It matches the Rfam family "Bacterial small subunit ribosomal RNA", at positions 28 to 507 of the family's 1533-position model. The record is from RNAcentral.
GAUGAACGCUGGCGGCGUGCUUAACACAUGCAAGUCGAACGAAACACCUUAUUUGAUUUUCUUCGGAACUGAAGAUUUGGUGAUUGAGUGGCGGACGGGUGAGUAACGCGUGGGUAACCUGCCCUGUACAGGGGGAUAACAGUCAGAAAUGACUGCUAAUACCGCAUAAGACCACAGCACCGCAUGGUGCAGGGGUAAAAACUCCGGUGGUACAGGAUGGACCCGCGUCUGAUUAGCUGGUUGGUGAGGUAACGGCUCACCGAGGCGACGAUCAGUAGCCGGCUUGAGAGAGUGAACGGCCACAUUGGGACUGAGACACGGCCCAAACUCCUACGGGAGGCAGCAGUGGGGAAUAUUGCACAAUGGGGGAAACCCUGAUGCAGCGACGCCGCGUGAGUGAAGAAGUAUUUCGGUAUGUAAAGCUCUAUCAGCAGGGAAGAAAAUGACGGUACCUGACUAAGAAGCCCCGGCUAACUACGUG